RNAcentral lists this ribosomal RNA (274 nucleotides) under uncultured bacterium. RNAcentral's name for it is "partial 16S ribosomal RNA". It matches the Rfam family "Bacterial small subunit ribosomal RNA", at positions 523 to 796 of the family's 1533-position model. The record is from RNAcentral.
ACACAGAGGUGGCGAGCGUUGUUCGGAUUUACUGGGCGUAAAGCGCGCGUAGGCGGCUUAGUAAGUCGGAUGUGAAAUCCCCGGGCUCAACCUGGGAAUUGCGUUCGAUACUGCUGAGCUAGAGUAUGGCAGAGGGAAGUGGAAUUCCGGGUGUAGCGGUGAAAUGCGUAGAUAUCCGGAGGAACACCAGUGGCGAAGGCGACUUCCUGGGCCAAUACUGACGCUGAGGUGCGAAAGCGUGGGGAGCAAACAGGAUUAGAAACCCCGGUAGUCC